RNAcentral lists this ribosomal RNA (358 nucleotides) under uncultured bacterium. RNAcentral describes it as "partial 16S ribosomal RNA". It matches the Rfam family "Bacterial small subunit ribosomal RNA", at positions 338 to 688 of the family's 1533-position model. The record is from RNAcentral.
CCUACGGGUGGCAGCAGUGGGGAAUAUUGCGCAAUGGGCGCAAGCCUGACGCAGCGACGCCGCGUGAGGGAUGAAGGUCCUCGGAUCGUAAACCUCUGUCAGCAGGGAAGAACGGUCACUGUGCUAAUCAGCAGUGAAUUUACGGUACCUGCAAAGGAAGCACCGGAUAACUCCGUGCCAGCAGCCGCGGUAAUACGGAGGGUGCGUGCGUUAAUCGGAUUUACUGGGCGUAAAGCGGGCGUAGGCGGUAGGUCAAGUCAAGGGUGAAAUCCCCGGGCUAAACGUGGGAACUGCCUUUGAAACGGGCAAAUUGGAGUGUGGGAGAGUAUAGUGGAAGUGCAGGGGUAGGGGUGAAAGC